Molecule: non-coding RNA, 180 nt
Filed under: Ureibacillus manganicus
Lineage: Bacteria; Bacillati; Bacillota; Bacilli; Caryophanales; Caryophanaceae
Also listed under: 1 other name
Source: RNAcentral
UUGUAUUAGUUUUGUAAAGGUACUACUAUAUGUAGUUUAAAAGGGAAGUUCGGUGAGAAUCCGACGCUGUCCCCGCAACUGUAAAGCUGACGAAGGUUCGAUGUCCACUGUGUGAAUACAUGGGAAGGGAACCAGAGAAUGAAGCAAAGCCAGGAGACCUGCCUUAUAAAACCGAUCCAU